RNAcentral lists this ribosomal RNA (266 nucleotides) under uncultured bacterium. RNAcentral's name for it is "partial 16S ribosomal RNA". It matches the Rfam family "Bacterial small subunit ribosomal RNA", at positions 524 to 787 of the family's 1533-position model. The record is from RNAcentral.
UACGAAGGGGGCUAGCGUUGCUCGGAAUUACUGGGCGUAAAGGGCGCGUAGGCGGAUAGUUUAGUUGGGGGUGAAAGCCCGGGGCUCAACCUCGGAACUGCCUUCAAUACUGGCUAUCUUGAGUACGGGAGAGGUGUGUGGAACUCCGAGUGUAGAGGUGAAAUUCGUAGAUAUUCGGAAGAACACCAGUGGCGAAGGCGACACACUGGCCCGUUACUGACGCUGAGGCGCGAAAGCGUGGGGAGCAAACAGGAUUGAGAGUACCC